RNAcentral lists this ribosomal RNA (465 nucleotides) under Vreelandella stevensii. Its description in RNAcentral is "partial 16S ribosomal RNA". It matches the Rfam family "Bacterial small subunit ribosomal RNA", at positions 338 to 795 of the family's 1533-position model. The record is from RNAcentral. Lineage: Bacteria; Pseudomonadati; Pseudomonadota; Gammaproteobacteria; Oceanospirillales; Halomonadaceae.
CCUACGUGAGGCAGCAGUGGGGAAUAUUGGACAAUGGGCGAAAGCCUGAUCCAGCCAUGCCGCGUGUGUGAAGAAGGCCUUCGGGUUGUAAAGCACUUUCAGUGGGGAAGAAAGCCUUGGGGCUAAUACCCUCGAGGAAGGACAUCACCCACAGAAGAAGCACCGGCUAACUCCGUGCCAGCAGCCGCGGUAAUACGGAGGGUGCGAGCGUUAAUCGGAAUUACUGGGCGUAAAGCGCGCGUAGGCGGUCUGAUAAGCCGGUUGUGAAAGCCCCGGGCUCAACCUGGGAACGGCAUCCAGAACUGUCAGGCUAGAGUGCAGGAGAGGAAGGUAGAAUUCCCGGUGUAGCGGUGAAAUGCGUAGAGAUCGGGAGGAAUACCAGUGGCGAAGGCGGCCUUCUGGACUGACACUGACGCUGAGGUGCGAAAGCGUGGGUAGCAAACAGGAUUAGAUACCCGAGUAGUC